GAUGAAGAACGUAGCGAAAUGCGAUACGUAAUGUGAAUUGCAGAAUUCAGUGAAUCAUCGAGUCUUUGAACGCACAUUGCGCCCCCUGGUAUUCCGGGGGGCAUGCCUGUCCGAGCGUCAUUGCUGCCCUCAAGCACGGCUUGUGUGUUGGGCCUCCGUCCUCCUCCCGGGGGACGGGCCCGAAAGGCAGCGGCGGCACCGCGUCCGGUCCUCGAGCGUAUGGGGCUUCGUCACCCGCUCUUGUAGGCCCGGCCGGCGCUUGCCGACACAUCAAUCUUUUUUCCAGGUUGACCUCGGAUCAGGUAGGGAUACCCGCUGAACUUAAGCAGAUCAAUAAGCGGAGGA
Molecule: unclassified non-coding RNA, 345 nt
Filed under: soil metagenome
Description: partial contains 5.8S ribosomal RNA, internal transcribed spacer 2, and large subunit ribosomal RNA
Rfam family: 5.8S ribosomal RNA (bases 1-120)
Source: RNAcentral